Molecule: long non-coding RNA, 1030 nt
Organism: Panicum hallii
Lineage: Eukaryota; Viridiplantae; Streptophyta; Magnoliopsida; Poales; Poaceae
Exons: 5
Source: RefSeq, a predicted model, not a curated record
AGAUGUAGAGUGAACCUGUCCAUGUCAAUAAUGGUAGAGACCAAUGGGUACAUGUGAAACAUUUCAAGUCCUACACGUCAAGGAAAAUGAUAGGACAAGAAAAGAAAGAUAUGUCCAGAUCGGCGCUUAUAAUUCAGCGCUCCAUCCAGCAUCAUGGGACCAUAAUAAUAAUGGUUCACUUGUUAGGCUGUACUGUGUCGACGAGCACCGAAAUGGACCCCCUUGAGGCGUUUUAUUCUGAAGUGAAUGAUCGCCACGGCUUAUCUACAGCAUUGGCGCCCUUGCAUUCAUUCUGCUUGAGGCAUACACAUAUCAUUCAGCCGUAUGUGCAGGUGCAGCCUUGCAAGUCACGCAACAGCGUGCUUGUUGGCGGCGCUGCUGUGGAAUUAGAGAGGUGGGAUGACCGCACUCCGAUCCCAGUGGAGAUGAAAAUGGGAAUGAGAUGAAAUGAAAUGAAGCAGCUCAUGCAUGCAUCAUGAUGUCGUUGCAACUCGGGCGGCGUGUUAACCCAGACCCACUAGCUCCUCCCCAGUUUGUCGCCUUAGCCAUGCGAGAUGCCUUUCUGCCGAUGCCUUUGGUCGAUGCUUCACACAGUAUAUUUGGGCCAACGUUGGAGGAACAACUAUUUGCGGCAAUUAAUUGAAGGAAACAUCCUGGCGGAUGGGACACUUCGAUUUUUUGCCAAAUCCUGCAUGCCCUUGCCAUCGAAGAGCGCAUCGUUUCGACUGAACCGCACGGCAUUAAACGAGACGCAGCACCGUACCACCAGUGGACUGAAUCCGUCUUUCUUUUGAAACAAAGCUCUUCUACUUUGAUAUAUAUACAAAAAUUUGCAAAAUGAAUUUACCUGGACAAAUUUAGCUUCGAUCGAAGAACGUGCAGCAGUUAAGUGUCGGUUGUCCUGUAGCUUUCUGAGCAGAGAAGGGCAGUAAAGCGUUUGGCUUAACAUGGCUAUAAUGGUGAUGGUGAUGGUGAUGGAUAUAAACGAGGCAAGUGCAACUGUAGUUUGAUGAGCGUGAGUAGCUAGCUU